This 378-nucleotide long non-coding RNA is filed under the name Mus musculus (house mouse). RNAcentral's name for it is "long non-coding RNA chr9:31274897-31275275". The record is from RNAcentral. Lineage: Eukaryota; Metazoa; Chordata; Mammalia; Rodentia; Muridae.
AUGGGGUUGGCCGUGGACCCCAACAGGGCGGUUCCCCUCCGUAAGAGGAAGGUAAAGGCCAUGGAGGUAGACACGGAGGAGAGACCCAAGGAUCUUGUACGGAAGCCCUGUGUGGUAAAGGACCUGGAGGCAGAAGCCAGCCUCCCAGAGAAGAAAGGAAGUACCUUGUCUCUGGACCUCCUUAUUGACUAUGUUCAUUAUAUGGUGGAGAAUCAUGAGGAGGACGAUAAGGCCAUGGCCCGGGAUAAGAAGAAUUACUAUCAAGAAACCCCAAAACGGAUUCCGAAUAAGGUUGAUGUGUAUAAGCCCUUUUACCCAAUGGAAUGCCAAGCCUUUAUCGAUGAUUCUUUGCAGAAUAAGAAGAUGGGGGUAGACUGA